Molecule: transfer RNA, 73 nt
Filed under: Neoconidiobolus thromboides
Lineage: Eukaryota; Fungi; Entomophthoromycota; Entomophthoromycetes; Entomophthorales; Neoconidiobolaceae
Description: Conidiobolus thromboides tRNA-Glu
Rfam family: tRNA
About the family: Transfer RNA (tRNA) molecules are approximately 80 nucleotides in length.
Source: RNAcentral
UUGGAUGUAGCCAAAUAGGUUAAGGCAUCAUAGUUUGAGUAUGACAAUGUAGGUUCAAGUCCUGCCGUCCAAU